UGCCACCUGAUAUUAGAAUAGGUGGUACAUCCUGCCCAGUGAUUAUUUAAACGGCCGCGGUAUCCUGACCGUGCAAAGGUAGCAUAAUCAUUUGCCUAUUAAUUGUAGGCUAGUAUGAAAGGACAAACGCGAAUCACGCUGUCUCCUCUUGGAAAUUAAAAAUUUAUAUUUAAGUGAAGAAGCUUAAAUUAACCCGCAGGACAAGAAGACCCUAUAGAGCUUUACCACAUAUUUAGAUAAUUAUAAAUUAACUGGUUCGGUUGGGGCGACCAAGGAACAUUUAACAUCCUUCAUUACCAAGAUAUACUAAUCAUAUAAAAGAUCCUAAACAAAGAUCAUUGAAUCAAGCUACCUUAGGGAUAACAGGCUAAUUCCUCUAGAGAGCCCUUAUUGACAGAGGAGGUUGGCACCUCGAUGUUGGCUUAGGAUUUCUCUAUAACGCAGCAGUUAUAACCAGAUGGUUUGUUCAACCAUUAAACUCCU
This 483-nucleotide ribosomal RNA is filed under the name Limnodrilus maumeensis. RNAcentral's name for it is "partial 16S ribosomal RNA". It matches the Rfam family "Bacterial large subunit ribosomal RNA", at positions 1824 to 2597 of the family's 2925-position model. Lineage: Eukaryota; Metazoa; Annelida; Clitellata; Tubificida; Naididae. The record is from RNAcentral.